This is a long non-coding RNA of Mustela lutreola (European mink), 815 nucleotides long. RefSeq lists it as uncharacterized. The transcript has 3 exons. The record is from RefSeq and is a predicted model, not a curated record. NCBI's taxonomy places the organism in Eukaryota, Metazoa, Chordata, Mammalia, Carnivora, Mustelidae.
AGCAGCCGGGGACCCUGGAUGGUGCCAAUAAGAAGAGUGCCCUCAUCACCACAUCUUGUAAUCCACACUGCACAUGUAGUAUGAACUACAAUAAACCUUUGUUGUGUUAAGCCAUUGAGAGUUGUGUGUGUGUGUGUGUGUGUGUGUGUGUGUGUGUUGUGGUUGGGGGGAUUGCUCCUACAGCCUAACCUAUUUUCUGCUGACUGGUCCACUGGCAUUCAGCUGAUGGUGUAAUCCAUCAUCCACAAGCCCAAAACUGCUAGGAAAACAACUUUUGGGUCUGUUUGGUAUGGUCUUCAUUUUCUGUUGUGAGGUAGGGAGUGGGAAGGAGGGGCAAGUUCUUUCAAGUAGAAGGAAACUGUUGUUAUAACCACCACUAGGAAUCACUUCCUCAUCGCAAACGGCUGGCUCCUAGUUCAGUUAAGAGCUGAAAUUAGUUCUCGUACAUUGUCACACCUGUACUGGGUGCAGCGGUUAAACAGAUGCAGUAAACCAUAGGGUCACAUACAGUCUUCUUUAGAAGGAGGAUUAACUCAAGUGCACUGAAUAAUUAAUUUUGGAUCCUUGUGGUCGGCACAGAAUCUCAGGUGCUGCUUUGCUGCCUCCUUGUCGUGGCCUUCCGCAUCUUCGACUCCGUGAUCAACCAAUCCCGCUCCAUAAUCUUCCACUCACCAUGUCCCAUCUGCUGACAUCACCAGUAGCUGAUAAUGUAAAAUCUAGUCAUCUUGUGGCCCUUCCCUACCACAUUUUUCUCUAGUCCUUCCUGGGUUUGAAAUGAAUGUGCAUAAAGAAAACUUUCUUCCUCUUGCUUUCAA